Long non-coding RNA from Clupea harengus (Atlantic herring), 2401 nucleotides. The record is from Ensembl. Lineage: Eukaryota; Metazoa; Chordata; Actinopteri; Clupeiformes; Clupeidae.
ACUAGGACACUGUGUUCUCAUCAGCGCGAGCUACAGUACAGCCGGAACAUUGUGUUACUCAGUGGAUACUUUCCAAAACCUGCCCUCAUAAUUUUUUUCACUAAAUCGCCCUCCCCCUCCUUCUCUCCGCCUUCUACCUCGUUCUCGUUUAGUUCUCCUUCUCCCCAUGUGGCUGUACUGGUAGAAGGGGUAGUGUGUUUGUGUGAGUGCGUGCGUGCGUGUGCGUGUGUGUGUGUGUGUGUGUGCGCGCGCAUAUGCAUGUGUGUGAGAUGGGGGCUGCGGUCUGUCAGACUGCUAAUGGAACACAAAGUACCUUCGCUGGGAGAGGGCGGGUUUGAACACAGCUUUACCGCCAGCGUCGUGACACUGUACUAGUACAGGUUGCCGUCGCGAUUCCCUGAAGUUACAUUACGGAUAUAGAACCACAUGAGGGGGAGAAGCGAGAGAACCAGCUUGUAAGGGUAGUGGGACUACAGAAAUGAACAUGCACAAGGGCGAGUUCACAGAUGGGCGGUCCAUAACAGCACUCUUUGCCAAAGAAGGUAUUGACAUCACUCCGAACAAAGAUAAUGGUGUUUGUAAGGUAAGCUUGCAGUCUUAUUACUAAUUUCUCCAUUUCUCUGGUACAAAUGACAUCUUUUAGCUAUAAUGCACUUUUCUCUUUGCAUGUGUUCUUGUCAUGUCCGCAGAGCUCAGGCUGGCUGAGACUGGUACAUUAUGGUUUUACAAAAAAUCUGACAAAUAUCUCACCAAGCUAUCUGAUUGUAACAAAAAUGUUUAAUUGAAGCUGUAUCUGACUGAUGAGUGCAAAUCUUGGGUGGGUUUUUUUUGGGCUGCUGUUCAGAGACCUUUCAGUCAAUAGAAAUUUGGAACACAAUGUUCCGCUGCAGGAGAGACACACAGCCAUGAACAUCUUUGCAGGUCACUUUGCGACAAAGACGUGAUGCACUUGAUCCACUGAGACCGUAAUGGGCUAGUUAAAACAGAAUUAGAUGCCAAAAGGUGGAGUAACUUGACCGAUAAUUUAAAAUAAUUUAAGGAAGUUGUCUCAUCAGUGUUGUGCUUGUUACUAAGCACAUUUGUUUGGCCGUGCUUUGAACUUUUUUGUCAUGCUUCUAAUGUUACGAUUGUAGUGGGUGAAUUUGGGUUGAUAGGUUUGUGAGGAGAUAUUUUGUUUUGGUGUCCUAAAAUCUACUGCAUACUGCAGCCCUACAGAAUGGGUCUCUAUGUCCAAGAGCAAUUCAUCCUGUUUUCUGUUGGCUCUGGGUCUGUGCCAUCGGCUUUAAGUUCAUGAUUGGCCAUGCAGACAAAAUGUCCUCACCACACGUGGUGUUGUUGUAAUGUUGAUUAUACUGUUCUUGGACACUUGUGGAUGGCAUGAUAAGGUGCCUGUUAACAUACGGUUGCCAGUUUGUGUUGUUCAGGAGUGUUCGGAUUUACUUUUGUAAGGUAUAUUCAUUAGUGAUAAAUACCCACAAGUUGCAUCGCUAAACCUGUAUUUGUUUCUAUUCAUCAAUGUUUCAUUUUUUUAUUGACAUCCUGAAUGAAUAUCAUCUUGAGGGAGUUGACAGCAAUAGAUCAUAGUUAAUCUGUGGCUGUUCAAAGGUAACAGUUAAGUUGUUGACACGUAGUGAUUUUGAUGUUAUUACACCGGUCCCUGGGGCAGUUUGCCUUUCAAAAGCAUUUAAGCCCAACGAGUUUCACCACUCUGGCAGCAAACUUGUAGUACAUGUUUAAUCUGUUUCUUAAUAUCUUGAUUGUAUUUUAAGAUCUCACUGCUGUCAUUAGUGUCUUGUGGGAUUAUCAUCAAGACUUUGUUUCAUUUCAACAAAUUAUGAGAUAAACUUAAAUAAACUGUGAAACUGAGAAACACAAGGUCCAAGCACAAAGGCGAUAGUGACAAGGAAAAAGUCUAAUUUAACAUGUAUUAGUCAAUAACCUAUACAUAAGUGAUUUAAUGUGAAAGCAGGAUGGACAACAGAGGGUUCACACUUUCGUGAUGUUCUGUGGUGCAUGGUUUUCGUUAGUUAAUUCGCUCAGUAAGUAGUCUGUCUUAUUUUGUUUAAAAUGGUUGAAAGGAGGUUUGGUUGUGUGAUCACAGUGAAUAUGAUGAUAGUAACCGUGGGCAUGUUGACAGCUUGAUUAAACCAGCUACUGUUUGGUUAUUGCUAUUAAACCGUAUUUAGUGUUUAGGCAUUUAGGUAUGUUUAAAAAAAAAAAUGAACAUACUCAGGCUCAAUAUACUAUCAAUUAGAUUAAUCUGUCACUAUUUGUCAUGUGUUAUGCUGCUCUUUUCACUAACAUAAGGGGAGAUGAAAUUUACAGAUAAGCCAAAUAGAAAAUAGGAGAAAUGUAACCUUUCAUUUCAGCUUGAGGUUUGGAUCUGGGUCUACUGAAGCAU